AUAAUAUCGGGUGCACCCGGGUAGGGAGUCGGAACACAGCCUUUGGUGGGAACCGGAAUGUUGUCUUUUUUCUAUCUUCGUCUUUGCUUAUGUGUUCACAACAGGAUACAAAUCUAACAAUAAGUCUGAGUCUGAGAAAAUCUAUACGAGAUUCACUAUCUGAGAUACGAGAGUUUUGUACUUGAGUGUAAAAACAAAGCAAAAAUAUAGAUCGCUGAUUAGAAGAAACAAAAUCUAGUCUCAUGAGUAACAUUAAGCAGGGUUUUAUUGCUGUACAUGUGGGUGCUGGGCAGCACUCUGCAUCCCUUAAAGAAAAAUAUCAAAAGUUGUGUCACGAAGCAUGCAAAGUGGGAGCUCAAAGUUUGACAUCCAAUGGCAAUGUAUUAGAUGCAGUGGUGGAAACAGUAAUGGUGCUGGAAGAUUCACCCAUGACAAAUGCUGGAUUUGGAUCAAAUCUUACCUUGAAUGGAACAGUAGAAUGCGACGCGAGCGUGAUGGAUGGCAAUAGUUUACAGUACGGUGCAAUUGGUGCAGUUAGUGGAAUAAAGAAUCCAGUUCUAUUGGCAAAGCGUUUGUGUGAACAACAAUCUGUUAAAUUUGCAUACGGCCGAAUCCCACCUAGCUUUUUAGUUGGAAAUGGUGCACAUAUUUGGGCACAUGAGAUGGGCAUACAGACAUUACCACCGGAACAAUUAAUAUCAAUGAGAGCUCAAAAAAUAUACAAACACUACAAAAGAAAAGUGGAAGAUUGCAGUGUAGAAGCUCAAAAGUGUGCUAAGAAAAGAAUGGACACAGUAGGUGCAAUAUGUGUUGACGGCGAUGGAAAUAUUGCUGCGGCUUGCUCGAGUGGUGGUAUAAUUCUGAAAUAUCCUGGAAGAGUUGGGCAGGCUGGGGUAUGGGGUUGUGGUGCCUGGGCUUGCAAGGAUACUUCUUAUUCAGUGGGCGCCAGCACGUCAGGUUGCGGGGAACAUCUUGUGCGCACCUCGUUAGCGCGUACAGUUGCAGAAGCUAUUUCUAAUACCUCUUGUCCGACUACGAGUCUCCAUCGAGCGAUGAACGUAGAUUUUAUCGGUGCAUCACAGAUUCGAAAUUUCUCUAUGGGCUCGAACAGAAACUAGGCGGUGUCAUCGCUAUACGUUAUUCGCCACAAGAAGGAUUGGGCGAUUUUCUCUGGAGCCAUUCUACGAAUUCCAUGAUAAUAGGUUACAUGAAUACAUGUCAACAUACACCAGUGAGUUACAUGUCGGCCUUACCAUCGCACGAGGUAGGUAAGAAAGCUAUUGUCGAAGGUGUCUGCUUCAAGAUAAAAUCUGAAGCAGAGUCUGAGUAAAAUUAUAUACAUUACCUGUGAUGUAAUAAGGUUUUGUAAAAAUAAUUCGUAGCCUAAAAUACUUUAUAUACGAAAUUUUUAUAUGGAUUCACGCCAAUUUCUUUCAUGAAAUUCACACAUAAUAGUACUGCCAGAUUGAAUCGUUUUACAUAGUCACAAUUUUGCGAGAUACAUAUAUAUUUUCCUAAAUUUUUAACUUAUGCAUAUAAAUACAAUGAAUCCUGAUAACAGUUUAAAAAAAA
This is an RNA transcript of Formica exsecta, 1572 nucleotides long. It is a transcript of the gene named threonine aspartase 1-like, with no coding region annotated. Lineage: Eukaryota; Metazoa; Arthropoda; Insecta; Hymenoptera; Formicidae. The transcript has 10 exons. The record is from RefSeq and is a predicted model, not a curated record.